RNAcentral lists this ribosomal RNA (473 nucleotides) under uncultured bacterium. RNAcentral's name for it is "bacterial SSU rRNA". It matches the Rfam family "Bacterial small subunit ribosomal RNA", at positions 335 to 801 of the family's 1533-position model. The record is from RNAcentral.
ACUCCUACGGGAGGCAGCAGUAGGGAAUCUUCCACAAUGGGCGCAAGCCUGAUGGAGCAACACCGCGUGAGUGAAGAAGGGUUUCGGCUCGUAAAGCUCUGUUGUUAAAGAAGAACACGUAUGAGAGUAACUGUUCAUACGUUGACGGUAUUUAACCAGAAAGUCACGGCUAACUACGUGCCAGCAGCCGCGGUAAUACGUAGGUGGCAAGCGUUAUCCGGAUUUAUUGGGCGUAAAGAGAGUGCAGGCGGUUUUCUAAGUCUGAUGUGAAAGCCUUCGGCUUAACCGGAGAAGUGCAUCGGAAACUGGAUGACUUGAGUGCAGAAGAGGGUAGUGGAACUCCAUGUGUAGCGGUGGAAUGCGUAGAUAUAUGGAAGAACACCAGUGGCGAAGGCGGCUACCUGGUCUGCAACUGACGCUGAGACUCGAAAGCAUGGGUAGCGAACAGGAUUAGAUACCCUGGUAGGAUAGCG